Molecule: ribosomal RNA, 750 nt
Filed under: uncultured bacterium
Lineage: Bacteria
Description: bacterial SSU rRNA
Rfam family: Bacterial small subunit ribosomal RNA
Source: RNAcentral
GAAGGCUUACCUGGCAGGUCGAGGGGGCAUCGGGAGGGAAGCUUGCUUUCCUUGCCGGCGACCGGCGCACGGGUGAGCUAACACGUAUGCAACCUGCCCUCUUCAGGGGGACAACCUUCCGAAAGGGAGGCUAAUCCCGCGUAUAUCGGUUUCGGGCAUCCGGGAUCGAGGAAAGAUUCAUCGGAAGAGGAUGGGCAUGCGGCGCAUUAGCUUGACGGCGGGGUAACGGCCCACCGUGGCGACGAUGCGUAGGGGUUCUGAGAGGAAGGUCCCCCACACUGGUACUGAGACACGGACCAGACUCCUACGGGAGGCAGCAGUGAGGAAUAUUGGUCAAUGGGAGAGAUCCUGAACCAGCCAAGCCGCGUGAGGGAAGACGGCCCUAUGGGUUGUAAACCUCUUUUGUCGGAGAACAAAACCCGGGACGUGUCCCGGACUGCGUGUAUCCGAAGAAAAAGCAUCGGCUAACUCCGUGCCAGCAGCCGCGGUAAUACGGAGGAUGCGAGCGUUAUCCGGAUUUAUUGGGUUUAAAGGGUGCGUAGGCGGUCCGUUAAGUCAGCGGUAAAAUUGCGGGGCUCAACCCCGUCGAGCCGUUGAAACUGGCAGACUUGAGUUGGCGAGAAGUACGCGGAAUGCGCGGUGUAGCGGUGAAAUGCAUAGAUAUCGCGCAGAACUCCGAUUGCGAAGGCAGCGUACCGGCGCCAGACUGACGCUGAGGCACGAAAGCGUGGGGAUCGAACAGGAUUAAAU